Molecule: long non-coding RNA, 1015 nt
Filed under: Cervus hanglu yarkandensis (Yarkand deer)
Lineage: Eukaryota; Metazoa; Chordata; Mammalia; Artiodactyla; Cervidae
Description: lncRNA (ENSCHYG00000023865.1)
Source: RNAcentral
GCCGCGCUCCGGCUGCAGCGGCGGCGAGGGGGAAAGGGGCGCGGGAUACCUGGCGGUGGGGGUCGGGGGGUGUGGGGCGCCGCCCGCGCGAGCAGGUGCGCGGGGGCCGACCGGGGGACACCGGGGUGCCUCUCUGCAGCCGCGCGGGCCGGGAGGUCGGGGCAACCCGGCGGCGCCGCCCUGCGCUCCGCCCGCCGCCGCUGCUGCCCCGGGGCACAGCCUCCUCCGGGCCGAACUGUCCCGCGGCGAACUGGAGCCCCGGCUCCCCGCUCGCUUCGGCCGCACUCUGCCUUCCUUCCUUCUCGUCUCCCCGGGCCGCGGGCUUCCCUUCCAGGGCUGGAGAGUGGCCGGCGAGGAGGCGGCGGUGCUGUGUUUUUAGUCCUUGACCGAGUGUUCGUACCCGCUGCCGCGAGGCCCCUCCGUUCUGGAGGGCGGCACGGGCGGCGGCGGCCGAGGAGCCAUGGGGCGGAGGGGGAGCGGAGGCGGCUGGGCCCGGCCCGGGAGCGCUCGCCUGCUCUCCCUGGCGGUGCCCUGUGCCCGCAGCUGCGGCGCCCGGAGCCCGCGAUCUGCCGCCAGGCGCAGAAGUUCCGCGGUCCACGUGCGGCCGAGACGCGUUUGUUUAUGGCGGACCCGCCUUCGGGCGGAGCGCUCGGGCGCCGCGGCCCGGGGAAGUGGGGAGGGGGGGCGGAAAGAGGCGGGGAGGAGGGACCGCGGCGGGGGCGGGGGCGGCCAACCUCGCCUCCAGACCCCGCCGCGGCCCCGGAGUCACAGGCGCGCCUCCGCCUCCAGGGACUCUCCCGGGAGAGACCCGCGCGCUCCGGGCCUCGAGGAAGUGGCGGUUUCUGCUCUCACCUUCUGCUCUGCCUGCUUUGCCUGAGUCUGGGGACUCCACAAAUGGAAGAUUUGGAGACAAAAGUAUUUAGAAAAGAAGUGUACUUGAAAAAAAUCUGUUAAGAAUCUUCAUGGGCUAGAAGGAUUAGAUCAUCAAAAAAAAAAAGAAUACAGGUAUCUAAAG